Molecule: long non-coding RNA, 633 nt
Filed under: Homo sapiens (human)
Lineage: Eukaryota; Metazoa; Chordata; Mammalia; Primates; Hominidae
Description: long non-coding RNA NONHSAT218181
Source: RNAcentral
CGGGAAUAAAGCAAAGACCAGACUGCCUCCCUCCUGAGACGCCUCGGCACCGGCAACUGUGCUUCUCCAGCCCAGGCUGCCUCCUCCUUGGCGGCAACGCCGAAGGUCUCCAUGGCCAAGCCUAGAGCCACAGACCCUAUCCCCUCCCACCAGCCAACAGGAAACUAAAGCCGUGAAAAUACCAAGCUUUGUGGCCAGAAAAAAAAAAAUUCACCGGAAGUAAAAUUUAAAUUGAAGCCUAAGUCCGCUGGGCCAGCAGCAAGCAGCAAAGGCCUUGAUUUGCAGACACAUGCUCUGCCCCCAGCCACACUUCCUUCGUAUUUCCCAAGCCCAGGGUCUCCAAAGACAGAAGGAAGGGGCUUUGGGCUGAGUCUGUCCGUCACGAAGAGGCAGCCUUCUGGGAAAUCAAGGUUAAGGCAGAGGUGUCCUCAGGGGGUCCCCGGUGUGGGGCACUGAGGACUGUAAACAGGACCUACGUGAGACCGGGUGUCCCAGCCCCGAGGUUGUCUCUGCCUGAAGAACUGGCACUGCGGUGACUAGGAAGAUGGGAACAGCGGUCAGCCAGCAGCAAGACGAGACCCCGUCUCCCCUAGGAAUACCGGGGGUGGAGUGAGCCAGAAGGGGGCAUGCGAG